UACGUAGGUCCCGAGCGUUGUCCGGAUUUAUUGGGCGUAAAGCGAGCGCAGGUGGUUUAUUAAGUCUGGUGUAAAAGGCAGUGGCUCAACCAUUGUAUGCAUUGGAAACUGGUAGACUUGAGUGCAGGAGAGGAGAGUGGAAUUCCAUGUGUAGCGGUGAAAUGCGUGGAUAUAUGGAGGAACACCGGUGGCGAAAGCGGCUUACUGGACGGCAACUGACGCUGAGGCUCGAAAGCGUGGGGAGCAAACAGG
This 252-nucleotide ribosomal RNA is filed under the name uncultured bacterium. Its description in RNAcentral is "partial 16S ribosomal RNA". It matches the Rfam family "Bacterial small subunit ribosomal RNA", at positions 524 to 776 of the family's 1533-position model. The record is from RNAcentral.